Molecule: unclassified non-coding RNA, 178 nt
Organism: Anser brachyrhynchus (Pink-footed goose)
Lineage: Eukaryota; Metazoa; Chordata; Aves; Anseriformes; Anatidae
Source: Ensembl
GAGACAGCCCUGGGGAAUGAAAUUGUUUGUUUAUCCACAGAACACGUACAGCAUGGGCAGCAGCAGCGCAGUCUUUCCCAUGCUGUUUCGUUGCUUUCUUCAGCCUUGCCCUCCAGUGACAAUAUAUAGAGGUGUGAAGGCAGCUCUCAGUCCAUGCCCUGCCCAAACGCCAGGUGCU